Molecule: ribosomal RNA, 550 nt
Filed under: Bagarius bagarius (dwarf goonch)
Lineage: Eukaryota; Metazoa; Chordata; Actinopteri; Siluriformes; Sisoridae
Description: partial 16S ribosomal RNA
Rfam family: Bacterial large subunit ribosomal RNA
Source: RNAcentral
GGUCUUGCCUGCCCAGUGAUAAGUUAAACGGCCGCGGUAUUUUGACCGUGCGAAGGUAGCGCAAUCACUUGUCUUUUAAAUGAAGACCUGUAUGAAUGGUGAAACGAGGGCUUAACUGUCUCCCUUUUCCAGUCAAUGAAAUUGAUCUGCCCGUGCAGAAGCGGACAUAAAAAUACAAGACGAGAAGACCCUUUGGAGCUUAAGAUACAGGGUCACCUAUGUCAAGAGCUUAAAACAGCUAUAAACUAAGUAGUAACUGACCUCAAUCUUCGGUUGGGGCGACCACGGGAGAAAACACAGCUCCCACGCGGACUGGGUUAAAACCUAAAACCAAGAGAGACAUCUCUAAGCAACAGAACUUCUGACCACACAGAUCCGGCCACCAUGCCGACCAACGGACCAAGUUACCCCAGGGAUAACAGCGCAAUCCCCUUUCAGAGUUCAUAUCGACAAGGGGGUUUACGACCUCGAUGUUGGAUCAGGACAUCCUAAUGGUGCAGCCGCUAUUAAGGGUUCGUUUGUUCAACGAUUAAAGUCCUACGUGAUCUGA